GCGGCAACCGUAGCUCCGCCACUACACGGCGGCUGAAGAUGUAUAAUUCUAGGCCGAAGCGUGACCGGAAGGGCAAAAUAUUGAAGCACGAGUAUCAAUCAAAGCAGCUUCCGUCAACGAGGAUACAGCCAGAUCCCCGAUGGUUCAUCAAUACUCGGGUGAUUAGUCAGGAGAAAUUGGAAUCAUUUAGAGAAGAGAUUCAAGAUCGGCUUUCUAGCAACUACAAUAUCAUCAUGAAUGGAAGUAAUUUGCCCAUGUCCCUUGUGAAUGAACACAAGAAGAAAGGAAAAGCUCAUCAACUUGGCAGUAAGCCUUCUGCUGGAACAGAGAAAAAACACG
Molecule: unclassified non-coding RNA, 339 nt
Filed under: Hevea brasiliensis (rubber tree)
Lineage: Eukaryota; Viridiplantae; Streptophyta; Magnoliopsida; Malpighiales; Euphorbiaceae
Source: RNAcentral